Molecule: ribosomal RNA, 368 nt
Filed under: uncultured organism
Description: bacterial SSU rRNA
Rfam family: Bacterial small subunit ribosomal RNA
Source: RNAcentral
CGGAGGGUGCAAGCGUUAUCCGGAUUCACUGGGUUUAAAGGGUGCGUAGGCGGGUUGGUAAGUCCGUGGUGAAGUCCCCAAGCUUAACUUGGGAACUGCCGUGGAUACUAUCAAUCUUGAAUAUCGUGGAGGUAAGCGGAAUAUGUCAUGUAGCGGUGAAAUGCUUAGAUAUGACAUAGAACACCAAUUGCGUAGGCAGCUUACUACACGAUCAUUGACGCUGAGGCACGAAAGCGUGGGGAGCAAACAGGAUUAGAUACCCUGGUAGUCCACGCCCAAAACGAUGGAUACUCGACAUCAGCGAUAUACUGUUGGUGUCUGAGCGAAAGCAUUAAGUAUCCCACCUGGGAAGUACGAUCGCAAGAUUG